RNAcentral lists this ribosomal RNA (494 nucleotides) under uncultured bacterium. RNAcentral describes it as "partial 16S ribosomal RNA". It matches the Rfam family "Bacterial small subunit ribosomal RNA", at positions 28 to 523 of the family's 1533-position model. The record is from RNAcentral.
GACGAACGCUGGCGGCGUGCUUAACACAUGCAAGUCGAGCGAUGAACCUUUCAUGAAUUUUUCGGAAUGAUUGGAAGAGGAUUAGCGGCGGACGGGUGAGUAACGCGUGAGCAACCUGCCUUAAACAACGGGAUAGCCUCGGGAAACCGGGAUUAAUACCGUAUGAGACCCCGCCUUCACAGGAAGAAGAGGCUAAAGAUUUAUCGGUUUAAGAUGGGCUCGCGUCUGAUUAGCUAGUUGGUGAGAUAAAAGCCCACCAAGGCAACGAUCAGUAACCGGCUUGAGAGAGUGAACGGUCACAUUGGAACUGAGACACGGUCCAAACUCCUACGGGAGGCAGCAGUGGGGAAUAUUGCACAAUGGGGGAAACCCUGAUGCAGCGACGCCGCGUGAGCGAUGAAGGAAUUCGUUUCGUAAAGCUCUGUCCAAGGGGAAGAUAAUGACAGUACCCUUGGAGGAAGCCCCGGCUAAAUACGUGCCAGCCGCCGCCGUAA